RNAcentral lists this ribosomal RNA (2402 nucleotides) under Proteus mirabilis. Its description in RNAcentral is "bacterial LSU rRNA". Lineage: Bacteria; Pseudomonadati; Pseudomonadota; Gammaproteobacteria; Enterobacterales; Morganellaceae. The record is from RNAcentral.
AGGUUAACCGUAUAGGGGAGCCGUAGGGAAACCGAGUCUUAACUGGGCGAAUGAGUUGCAGGGUAUAGACCCGAAACCCGGUGAUCUAUCCAUGGGCAGGUUGAAGGUUGGGUAACACUAACUGGAGGACCGAACCGACUAAUGUUGAAAAAUUAGCGGAUGACUUGUGGAUGGGGGUGAAAGGCCAAUCAAACCGGGAGAUAGCUGGUUCUCCCCGAAAGCUAUUUAGGUAGCGCCUCGUGAACUCAUCUUCGGGGGUAGAGCACUGUUUCGACUAGGGGGUCAUCCCGACUUACCAACUCGAUGCAAACUGCGAAUACCGAAGAAUGUUAUCACGGGAGACACACGGCGGGUGCUAACGUCCGUCGUGAAGAGGGAAACAACCCAGACCGCCAGCUAAGGUCCCAAAGUCAUGGUUAAGUGGGAAACGAAGUGGGAAGGCUCAGACAGCCAGGAUGUUGGCUUAGAAGCAGCCAUCAUUUAAAGAAAGCGUAAUAGCUCACUGGUCGAGUCGGCCCGCGCGGAAGAUGUAACGGGGCUAAACCAUGCACCGAAGCUGCGGCAGCGAACGUAUCACUUAAAUUUGUUUGAGUGAAUAACGAUUGACGGAACGAAGUGACGUCAAUGCGUUAAUGAAAGUCGAGGCGAAAGCACGACAAAGCGAAUUUAAGGAUACGUUCGUUGGGUAGGGGAGCGUUCUGUAAGCCUGCGAAGGUGUACUGUGAGGUAUGCUGGAGGUAUCAGAAGUGCGAAUGCUGACAUAAGUAACGAUAAUGCGGGUGAAAAACCCGCACGCCGGAAGACCAAGGGUUCCUGUCCAACGUUAAUCGGGGCAGGGUGAGUCGACCCCUAAGGCGAGGCUGAAAAGCGUAGUCGAUGGGAAACGGGUUAAUAUUCCCGUACUGGUGGUAACUGCGAUGGGGGAACGGAGAAGGCUAGGUUGUCCGGGCGACGGUCGUCCCGGUUCAAGCAGGUAGGCAGAGUGAUUAGGCAAAUCCGGUCACUUAAUGCUGAGAUGUGAUGACGAACCACCAAGGUGGUGAAGCAAUUGAUGCCCCGCUUCCAGGAAAAGCCUCUAAGCUUCAGGUUACCAACAAUCGUACCCCAAACCGACACAGGUGGUCAGGUAGAGAAUACUCAGGCGCUUGAGAGAACUCGGGUGAAGGAACUAGGCAAAAUGGUGCCGUAACUUCGGGAGAAGGCACGCUGGCGGUAGGUAAAGUCCCUYGCGGACGGCGCYSAAGCCAGUCGAAGAUACCAGCUGGCUGCAACUGUUUAUUAAAAACACAGCACUGUGCAAACACGAAAGUGGACGUAUACGGUGUGACGCCUGCCCGGUGCUGGAAGGUUAAUUGAUGGGGUUAGCGUAAGCGAAGCUCCUGAUCGAAGCCCCAGUAAACGGCGGCCGUAACUAUAACGGUCCUAAGGUAGCGAAAUUCCUUGUCGGGUAAGUUCCGACCUGCACGAAUGGCGUAAUGAUGGCCAGGCUGUCUCCACCCGAGACUCAGUGAAAUUGAACUCGCUGUGAAGAUGCAGUGUACCCGCGGCAAGACGGAAAGACCCCGUGAACCUUUACUAUAGCUUGACACUGAACAUUGAGCCUUGAUGUGUAGGAUAGGUGGGAGGCUUUGAAGUGUGGACGCCAGUCUGCAUGGAGCCAACCUUGAAAUACCACCCUUUAACGUUUGAUGUUCUAACCUAGGCCCAUAAACUGGGUCGGGGACCGUGUCUGGUGGGUAGUUUGACUGGGGCGGUCUCCUCCUAAAGAGUAACGGAGGAGCACGAAGGUUGGCUAAGCAUGGUCGGACAUCAUGCGGUUAGUGCAAAGGCAUAAGCCAGCUUGACUGCGAGAGUGACGGCUCGAGCAGGUACGAAAGUAGGUCUUAGUGAUCCGGUGGUUCUGAAUGGAAGGGCCAUCGCUCAACGGAUAAAAGGUACUCCGGGGAUAACAGGCUGAUACCGCCCAAGAGUUCAUAUCGACGGCGGUGUUUGGCACCUCGAUGUCGGCUCAUCACAUCCUGGGGCUGAAGUAGGUCCCAAGGGUAUGGCUGUUCGCCAUUUAAAGUGGUACGCGAGCUGGGUUUAGAACGUCGUGAGACAGUUCGGUCCCUAUCUGCCGUGGGCGUUGGAAGAUUGAGAGGGGUUGCUCCUAGUACGAGAGGACCGGAGUGAACGCACCACUGGUGUUCGGGUUGUCAUGCCAAUGGCAUUGCCCGGUAGCUAAGUGCGGAAGAGAUAACCGCUGAAAGCAUCUAAGCGGGAAACUUGCCUCGAGAUGAGUCUUCCCUGUCGCUUUAAGCGACCUAAAGGAACGUUUAAGACUAAGACGUUGAUAGGCUGGGUGUGUAAGCGUAGCGAUACGUUGAGCUAACCAGUACUAAUGAACCGUGAGGCUUAACCUG